GACGAACGCUGGCGGCGUGCCUAAUACAUGCAAGUAGAACGCUGAAGGAGGAGCUUGCUCUUCUGGAUGAGUUGCGAACGGGUGAGUAACGCGUAGGUAACCUGCCUGGUAGCGGGGGAUAACUAUUGGAAACGAUAGCUAAUACCGCAUAAGAGUAGAUGUUGCAUGACAUUUGCUUAAAAGGUGCAAUUGCAUCACUACCAGAUGGACCUGCGUUGUAUUAGCUAGUUGGUGGGGUAACGGCUCACCAAGGCGACGAUACAUAGCCGACCUGAGAGGGUGAUCGGCCACACUGGGACUGAGGCACGGCCCAGACUCCUACGGGAGGCAGCAGUAGGGAAUCUUCGGCAAUGGACGGAAGUCUGACCGAGCAACGCCGCGUGAGUGAAGAAGGUUUUCGGAUCGUAAAGCUCUGUUGUAAGAGAAGAACGAGUGUGAGAGUGGAAAGUUCACACUGUGACGGUAUCUUACCAGAAAGGGACGGCUAACUACGUG
This 495-nucleotide ribosomal RNA is filed under the name uncultured bacterium. Its description in RNAcentral is "partial 16S ribosomal RNA". It matches the Rfam family "Bacterial small subunit ribosomal RNA", at positions 28 to 507 of the family's 1533-position model. The record is from RNAcentral.